RNAcentral lists this ribosomal RNA (254 nucleotides) under uncultured bacterium. RNAcentral describes it as "partial 16S ribosomal RNA". It matches the Rfam family "Bacterial small subunit ribosomal RNA", at positions 524 to 776 of the family's 1533-position model. The record is from RNAcentral.
GACAGAGGUGCCAAGCGUUAGGCGGAAUCACUGGGCUUAAAGCGUGUGUAGGCGGAAUGGUAAGUACCUUGUGAAAUCCCACGGCUCAACCGUGGAACUGCUCGGUAUACUGCUUUUCUUGAGCCACUUAGGGGCUGUCGGAACAAACGGUGGAGCGGUGAAAUGCGUAGAUAUCGUUUGGAACGCCAACGGUGAAAACAGACAGCUGGGAGUGUGCUGACGCUGGAGGCACGAAAGCCAGGGGAGCGAACGGG